This 548-nucleotide ribosomal RNA is filed under the name uncultured Bacillota bacterium. Its description in RNAcentral is "bacterial SSU rRNA". It matches the Rfam family "Bacterial small subunit ribosomal RNA", at positions 97 to 620 of the family's 1533-position model. Lineage: Bacteria; Bacillati; Bacillota. The record is from RNAcentral.
AGCGAACGGGUGAGUAUCGCGUGGGUAAUCUACCCAAAGGUGUGGGAUAGCCUCGGGAAACCGGGGGUAAUACCGCAUGAGUCCUCAACGGCGCGAGCCGAUGAGGGGAAAGGCGGGGAUCCUUCGGGACCUGUCGCCUUUGGAUGAGCCCGCGUCCGAUUAGCUUGUUGGUGGGGUAAUGGCCUACCAAGGCAACGAUCGGUAGCCGGCCUGAGAGGGUGAACGGCCACAUUGGGACUGAGACACGGCCCAGACUCCUACGGGAGGCAGCAGUGGGGAAUAUUGGGCAAUGGGGGCAACCCUGACCCAGCGACGCCGCGUGGAGGAUGACGGCCCUCGGGUUGUAAACUCCUGUCAGGUGGGAAGAAGAGUCGUCCGGCUAAUAUCCGGACGAAAUUGACUGUACCACCAAAGGAAGCCCCGGCUAACUCCGUGCCAGCAGCCGCGGUAAUACGGAGGGGGCAAGCGUUAUUCGGAUUUACUGGGCGUAAAGCGCACGUAGGCGGCAUGGUAAGUCAUAGGUGAAAGCCCUCGGCUCAACCGAGGAA